Molecule: ribosomal RNA, 401 nt
Filed under: uncultured soil bacterium
Lineage: Bacteria
Description: bacterial SSU rRNA
Rfam family: Bacterial small subunit ribosomal RNA
Source: RNAcentral
AGAACGAACGCUGGCGGCAUGCCUAAUACAUGCAAGUCGAACGAACUCUUCGGAGUUAGUGGCGCACGGGUGCGUAACGCGUGGGAAUCUGCCCCUUGGUUCGGAAUAACAGUUGGAAACGACUGCUAAUACCGGAUGAUGACGAAAGUCCAAAGAUUUAUCGCCAAGGGAUGAGCCCGCGUAGGAUUAGCUAGUUGGUGAGGUAAAGGCUCACCAAGGCUACGAUCCUUAGCUGGUCUGAGAGGAUGAUCAGCCACACUGGGACUGAGACACGGCCCAGACUCCUACGGGAGGCAGCAGUAGGGAAUAUUGGACAAGUGGGGGCAACCCGUGAUCCAGCAAUGCCGCGUGAGUGAUGAAGGCCUUAGGUUGUAAAGCUCUUUACCGAGUAUGAUAAUGAC